This 255-nucleotide ribosomal RNA is filed under the name uncultured bacterium. RNAcentral describes it as "partial 16S ribosomal RNA". It matches the Rfam family "Bacterial small subunit ribosomal RNA", at positions 524 to 776 of the family's 1533-position model. The record is from RNAcentral.
UACGUAGGGGGCAAGCGUUGUCCGGAUUUAUUGGGCGUAAAGAGCUCGUAGGUGGUUCGGUAAGUCGGAUGUGAAAAUCUCCAGGCUCAACCUGGAGGGGUCAUUCGAUACUGCCGUGACUAGAGGUCGGUAGGGGAGUGUGGAAUUCCUGGUGUAGCGGUGAAAUGCGCAGAUAUCAGGAAGAACACCCGUGGCGAAGGCGGCUCUCUGGGACGGUACUGACGCUGAGACGCGAAAGCGUGGGGAGCAAACAGG